GCCUCACUGGUGUAGUGGUAGAGCACGCCUUACGUCCCCGGAUAGGAUGAAACGUGGGUUCGAUUCCCGCCUGAGGCC
This is a non-coding RNA of Parelaphostrongylus tenuis, 78 nucleotides long. Lineage: Eukaryota; Metazoa; Nematoda; Chromadorea; Rhabditida; Metastrongylidae. The record is from the annotation of a GenBank genome assembly.